This 327-nucleotide ribosomal RNA is filed under the name uncultured eukaryote. RNAcentral's name for it is "partial 18S ribosomal RNA". It matches the Rfam family "Eukaryotic small subunit ribosomal RNA", at positions 1470 to 1796 of the family's 1831-position model. The record is from RNAcentral.
CCCUUAGAUGUUCUGGGCCGCACGCGCGCUACACUGACGAAUGCAACGAGCUUAUAACCUUGGCCGAAAGGUCUGGGUAAUCUCCAAAUUUCGUCGUGAUGGGGAUAGAUUAUUGCAAUUAUUAAUCUUCAACGAGGAAUGCCUAGUAAGCGCAAGUCAUCAGCUUGCGUUGAUUACAUCCCUGCCCUUUGUACACACCGCCCGUCGCUCCUACCGAUUGAAUGGUCCGGUGAAGCGCUCGGACCGCGGCCUCUUGACGGUUCGCUGUCGAUUGGCUGUGGGAAGUUCGUUAAACCUUAUCAUUUAGAGGAAGGAGAAGUCGUAACA